Molecule: ribosomal RNA, 251 nt
Filed under: uncultured Nostoc sp.
Lineage: Bacteria; Bacillati; Cyanobacteriota; Cyanophyceae; Nostocales; Nostocaceae
Description: partial 16S ribosomal RNA
Rfam family: Bacterial small subunit ribosomal RNA
Source: RNAcentral
UACGGAGGAUGCAAGCGUUAUCCGGAAUGAUUGGGCGUAAAGCGUCCGCAGGUGGCAAUGUAAGUCUGCUGUUAAAGAGUCUAGCUCAACUAGAUACAAGCAGUGGAAACUACAUAGCUAGAGUACGUUCGGGGCAGAGGGAAUUCCUGGUGUAGCGGUGAAUGCGUAGAGAUCAGGAAGAACACCAGUGGCGAAGGCGCUCUGCUAGGCCGUAACUGACACUGAGGGACGAAAGCUAGGGGAGCGAAUGG